UGUUGGUGAUUAAGCAAACGGUGAAGCACACAUGGAUGCCACACCUGACUUUUUUAUUUUUUGUUAAAUAUAUUUUUAAUCCCUAUAAAAUUAAGGUAUUUUAAGUUUUUAUUCCUUACAAAAAUAUUAUGCACUCAGUAUUAGUCCCUGCUCAAUUCAACUAUUAAAAUUAAACAAAUUUGAAUUGAGCAGAGACUAAUACUGAGUGCAUAGUAUUUUUGUAAUGACUAAAACAACUAUUAAAAUUAAGUAAGGACUAAACUUAAAAUGUCUCAAUUUUAUAGGGACUAAAAACAUAUUUAACCCAACAAAAAAAAGUCAGAUGUGGCAUCCACGUGUGCUUCACCGUUUGCUCAAUCAACAACG
This 366-nucleotide microRNA precursor is filed under the name Medicago truncatula (barrel medic). RNAcentral's name for it is "miR2589 stem-loop (mtr-MIR2589)". The record is from miRBase by way of RNAcentral. Lineage: Eukaryota; Viridiplantae; Streptophyta; Magnoliopsida; Fabales; Fabaceae.